This 1333-nucleotide ribosomal RNA is filed under the name uncultured bacterium. RNAcentral's name for it is "bacterial SSU rRNA". It matches the Rfam family "Bacterial small subunit ribosomal RNA", at positions 28 to 1382 of the family's 1533-position model. The record is from RNAcentral.
GACGAACGCUGGCGGCGCGCCUAACACAUGCAAGUCGAACGAGAGAUGAGGAGCUUGCUCUUCAAAUCGAGUGGCGAACGGGUGAGUAACGCGUGAGGAACCUGCCUCAAAGAGGGGGACAACAGUUGGAAACGACUGCUAAUACCGCAUAAGCCCACGGCUCGGCAUCGAGCAGAGGGAAAAGGAGCAAUCCGCUUUGAGAUGGCCUCGCGUCCGAUUAGCUAGUUGGUGAGGUAACGGCCCACCAAGGCGACGAUCGGUAGCCGGACUGAGAGGUUGAACGGCCACAUUGGGACUGAGACACGGCCCAGACUCCUACGGGAGGCAGCAGUGGGGAAUAUUGCACAAUGGGGGAAACCCUGAUGCAGCGACGCCGCGUGGAGGAAGAAGGUCUUCGGAUUGUAAACUCCUGUUGUUGAGGAAGAUAAUGACGGUACUCAACAAGGAAGUGACGGCUAACUACGUGCCAGCAGCCGCGGUAAAACGUAGGUCACAAGCGUUGUCCGGAAUUACUGGGUGUAAAGGGAGCGCAGGCGGGAGAACAAGUUGGAAGUGAAAUCCAUGGGCUCAACCCAUGAACUGCUUUCAAAACUGUUUUUCUUGAGUAGUGCAGAGGUAGGCGGAAUUCCCGGUGUAGCGGUGGAAUGCGUAGAUAUCGGGAGGAACACCAGUGGCAAAGGCGGCCUACUGGGCACCAACUGACGCUGAGGCUCGAAAGUGUGGGUAGCAAACAGGAUUAGAUACCCUGGUAGUCCACACCGUAAACGAUGAUUACUAGGUGUUGGAGGAUUGACCCCUUCAGUGCCGCAGUUAACACAAUAAGUAAUCCACCUGGGGAGUACGACCGCAAGGUUGAAACUCAAAGGAAUUGACGGGGGCCCGCACAAGCAGUGGAGUAUGUGGUUUAAUUCGACGCAACGCGAAGAACCUUACCAAGUCUUGACAUCCCUUGACGAUGCUGGAAACAGUAUUUCUCUUCGGAGCAAGGAGACAGGUGGUGCAUGGUUGUCGUCAGCUCGUGUCGUGAGAUGUUGGGUUAAGUCCCGCAACGAGCGCAACCCUUAUGGUCAGUUACUACGCAAGAGGACUCUGGCCAGACUGCCGUUGACAAAACGGAGGAAGGUGGGGAUGACGUCAAAUCAUCAUGCCCUUUAUGACUUGGGCUACACACGUACUACAAUGGCGUUAAACAAAGAGAAGCAAGACCGCGAGGUGGAGCAAAACUCAGAAACAACGUCCCAGUUCGGACUGCAGGCUGCAACUCGCCUGCACGAAGUCGGAAUUGCUAGUAAUCGUGGAUCAGCAUGCCACGGUGAAUACGUUCCCGGGCCUU